Molecule: non-coding RNA, 148 nt
Filed under: Nomascus leucogenys (northern white-cheeked gibbon)
Lineage: Eukaryota; Metazoa; Chordata; Mammalia; Primates; Hylobatidae
Source: Rfam by way of RNAcentral
GCUGGGCGUGGUGGUGCAUGCCUGUAAUCCCAGCUACUUAGGAGGCUGAGACAGGAGAAUUGCUUGAACCCGGGAGGUGGAGGUUGCAGUGAGCCGAGAUCACACCACCGCACUCCAGCCUGGGUGACAGAGCAAGACUUCGUCUCAA